GCACGGUGCCAGACCACUUCCGAAGCAGCAGACGAGUAUCGCAUGAGAAAAGACCUGAUCGAGCCAACGCCGCGUGAGUGAUGAAAGGAUUUUGAUCGUAAAAAUACUGCUUAUAUGGUAGAAACAAAAAAAGUAAGUAGACUUUGCUGCAUCAUUGACGGGUACCGUUAUCAAGASAAGACCACGGCCUAAACUACGUGCCAGCAGCCCGCGGGUGAAUAACAUAGGUGGCAAGCGUAUCUCGUAAUUAUUGGGCGUAAAGAAAAGCGUAGGGCGGGUUUUUUUUGUUUGAUGUGAAGAGAACCCGGCUCAACCGUGGAGGGGUCAUUUGUAAACUGGGAGACUUGAGUGCAGAAGAGGAGAAGUGGAAUUCCUUGUGUAGCGGUGAAAUGCGCAGAGAUAUGGAGGAACACCACUGGGGAAGGGGACUUUCUGGUCUGUAACUGACGCUGAUGUGCGAAAGCGUGGGGAUCAAACAGGAUUAGAUACCCUGGUAGUCCACCCCGUAAACGAUGAGUGCUAAGUGUUAGGGGGUUUCCGCCCCUUAGUGCUGCAGCUAACGCAUUAAGCACUCCCCCUGGGGAGUACGACCGCAAGGUUGAAACUCAAAGGAAUUGACGGGGACCCGCACAAGCGGUGGAGCAUGUGGUUUAAUUUGAAGCAACGCGAAGAACCUUCCCAAAUCUUGACAUCCUUUGAAAACUCUAGAGAUAGAGCCUUCCCCUUCGGGGGACAAAGUGACAGGUGGUGCAUGGUUGUCGUCAGCUCGUGUCGUGAGAUGUUGGGUUAAGUCCCGCAACGAGCGCAACCCUUAAGCUUAGUUGCCAUCAUUAAGUUGGGCACUCUAGGUUGACUGCCGGUGACAAACCGGAGGAAGGUGGGGAUGACGUCAAAUCAUCAUGCCCCUUAUGAUUUGGGCUACACACGUGCUACAAUGGACAAUACAAAGGGCAGCUAAACCGCGAGGUCAUGCAAAUCCCAUAAAGUUGUUCUCAGUUCGGAUUGUAGUGUGCAACUCGACUACAUGAAGCUGGAAUCGCUAGUAAUCGUAGAUCAGCAUGCUACGGUGAAUACGUUCCCGGGUCUUGUACACACCCCCCGUCACACCCCGAGAGUUUUAACACCCGAAGCCGGUGGAGUAACCAUUUAUGGAGCUAGCCGUCGAAA
RNAcentral lists this ribosomal RNA (1167 nucleotides) under Staphylococcus succinus. RNAcentral describes it as "bacterial SSU rRNA". It matches the Rfam family "Bacterial small subunit ribosomal RNA", at positions 324 to 1461 of the family's 1533-position model. The record is from RNAcentral. Lineage: Bacteria; Bacillati; Bacillota; Bacilli; Caryophanales; Staphylococcaceae.